CUUUAGCACGGUCACCGCCCACACUGACGUGUGAAGGGACGUUUCGAGAAAUUUGACCGUGGUCAUCGGCUAAACUCUUAGUUUGUCCCAAAACCGAUUUGAUUUCCUGGAAGACUUUGGCAGCAGUGAACCAUGGCAGCGUGCUCGAGAUACUCUCUGUACUGGGAAGAGACCGACUGCUUGAGCUACUAUGAUACACUGUCUCUUCAUGAAAUCUUUGAAAUUGUGGGUUCCCAGCUGACGGAGACCGACGUCGAAGUCCUGUCAUUCCUUCUGGAUGAAGCCUACCCGGCCAGACAUCCUCUUGAUCCAGAAACCUGGACUGAAGAUGCUUCACCAGACUCUGAUGCACCUGUAAAUUCUCCUUGCCCAUGCCUGGUGGAGGCUUGGCGCAGGAUAUGUCCCAAAGGAGAGCCAGGUCCGUUUGGUGGCCUUUGCAAGCCGAAGAGCGGCGUUGCGCUGUUGCUGGAAAUGGAGAGACGUGGCUUUUUAAGUGAAGCAAACCUGGAACCUCUUUUGCAGCUACUUCGAGUCCUUACACGGCACGACCUCUUACCGUUUGUCUCCAGCAAGAAAAGAAGAACGGUGUCACCAGAGAGAGAAGCUGUAAGCUACAUGGAAAGCAGAGCACACUCACACACAAGUUUUAACUCAGACCUGGCAAACACACAAGCGUCUCAGUGGAAGGCGGGUGUUGGCUCAGCUGUUAAGGCAUCCGCACCAGCACGAAGGAGACGGGGUAGGGGGCGUGGCCGGGCGAGAAAGGCCAGGGAUACAUCAGAAGUUAUGCCCCAGCCUUCGACGAACAAAGUGACCUGCGACACAAAUUCAAGUUGUCUGUUAAUAGUCACCACCUGGAAAUCUCCUGAGAAAAUCCUGCCUUCAUGGCUAGCUGUGUAUGGUGAGAAACCAUUCCUCCUGCAUUCUGUCAUAUUACAGACAGUUCUAGGUUCAGGUUUGUUACCAAGCUGUGCCAGGCUGUUCAGUGGAAAAGUGUUAAAGUCGAGUUUUAAUGGCUUGCAGAAUUUUAAAAAAAAAUGCAUAAAAUCUUAGCGCACACAGGGGUAUCCUCAUGAAAUGGGUCAUUAUAUUACAUUGAUUUGUCUGUUAUAAAGCAAUUUUGUGUGGACCGUGAAGAAACAGUGUUUUAAAAAAAUUCCAGAAUACAGAAGCUUCACUCAUUGCUUUUUUAAAACAGAGGUGUCAAACAUAUGGAUCAGAUUUUUCUCAUGACGAAUCUCGGCUAUUGAAGCCUGUGUUCCGAUGAAACUCUGAUGGUUUUCAUAUAUAAUGGAUCAGAGGGUUUACCACAACUGUGAAAUCCAUGCCAGCUCAAGUGUGUACUCUCAUUUAAGCAAAAAAGGGACUUACUAAAUACAAAGUAACUUUGAAAUUUGUGUAAACAUGUCGGAGAUUCUCUUUUUUUUAGUCGAGGUUCGUUCAAUGGUAUAAUGUUUCAUGAAAAUUGUUGCAAUAAAUUAUAAAAGGAAAAACGGGCAAAAUACAAGCAUUUUUGCUAGUCUUUUGGACAACUGCAUGUUUUAAUAAAAUCUCCAUUCAGAAUGGACUUUUUAUUAAAUAUCGACUAAAUAAUAAAUAAAAGACUAAACAUUUCUUUUUCUUUGGUCUGGCCCACUACUUUGGUGAAAAUAUAAUGCGGGCUGUUACCUAAAAUGAGUUUGACACCCCUGCUCUAAAGCCUUGAGAUGCAUCAUGAAAAACACAUUACAUCCCCUUAAAGACACCUUACCAAAUAAUCAGUGUUUGCUUAAAUGAACGUGGAUGUCUUAGAAUGGUUGGUGAUUCAUAUUUUCUGUUCGAACAGUGAAAGGGUGAUAAAUAGGUAAAGGAGUGGGCAAGAAAGAGUGCCUCACCGUCAUUACAAAUUGCUGCCAUGUUUAAUGCUGCUCUGCCGUACCAGCAGGUUGGCUCAGGAAUGGGUAGGAAAAGCAGGAGAAUGGAUAGAGAAAGAGAGCGCACGCCACACUAAAGGGCGUGUGCUGUCCUCUCUGUGCGGUCAUACACAUCAUACAAGCCAAGUGUGUUGAUUCUCACUCGUGCUCUCCUUCAUGAGGCCUGGUCCAUGUCUAAGGUAAAAAGUUUACCGUCCUCACUCGGUUAAGAGGAGGGGUGAAAGUGCUGAAUGUUACCAUUAUAAACAAUCCACUUCUUCAAACAAUUUCCCCAAAAGAGCUGUUUUUAAUUGUGUGCUGUUAGUAGACUCUGGGGGAACAGGUAGUACAGAAUUCUGGAGAAAGUUGUUGGCCGCAGAACUGGCUCAAGAAAGGCAGAAUUUUUUUUAAACUGUUCUUUACUUUGUUUUUCAUCAUUGCUAAGUGGGUAAAGAAACGUUCAUAUAAUGGGAAAAUUGUUCUGAAACAAUAUCGUUUUCACAGACCUUUCACAGCUAUCAGGGUUCUCCUGAAUGCGUGUCAUUUGAACCGAUCAAAACUGAGGAAGUCAAUAACAAUAACAAACCUGAAUCUGCCUUGAGUGGUAGCUCAACCUUGAGAAAUGCCCAGUUUUUCAUUUUGUGAGCAGUUCUGAGGAAAAUGACCCAACAGAGCUCUUGCUGAAAAUCCAAUUUAAAAAAAGAAAUGUAGACGUAAAUAUCAUUUGGGGGGGACUACAAAUUAAAUUUAUUUCUAUCUAUAUAGAAUUGAAGCUUAUGAAAUUGCCUGCUUUAACCGCAACAGAGGAACAGCCUUUGGAAAACGUUCAUCGCAAAACUUUGCUUGUCUGUUUCUCUCUCUCUCUCUCCUUUGUGUCCACAGUUGAAAAACAGACUGACUCAAGUGUCAGGGACAAAACAAGUUGGCCAUCCUCACAUACUAAGAGAGGGAGAGAGCGCACUUAAAGAACAAGCUAAAAUAGCGAGCAGUUGGUCAUCAGCCUCCUGCUCUUGUUCUCUCUCUCCCUCCAUCUUGGUUUGUUGUUCGUCACAAAAGAUGGAUGGAUAUAGUGUGGAAGCUCUUCGCAUGGAGCAGCUCCUCGUAAAAAUUGUAACUAAAGGUUGUGUUUUUUGUUGAAGAAGGUGAAAUGUUCUGUUUUAAAUUUUUACUGUAAAUAACAAAUUUGGAAAGUAAACAGCUUACUGUACCAUCAUGGAUUAACUUAAUUUUGCUCAAAUGUCCUUCUGUCUGAUCUUUUGUAAACAGUUCACACUCAAUCCAUCAUUAGAGAAAAACUGUUGCCUCAUGUAUGUUGUACUGAAUCAUCUGCCUAAGCAAAGUAGUGGAGGUGGAAGCUUGAUGGAGAAGUUUUUUUUUUUCUCUUUCCUUUUUUUUUUAAACAAUAACAAAAGCACCAUGUCCUCGCUGCAUAACAGCAUGAGAGGUGCUUUGCAAGGAAACAAAAUAAAAAGUGCUGUGCGAAUGUA
Molecule: RNA transcript, 3379 nt
Organism: Clarias gariepinus (North African catfish)
Lineage: Eukaryota; Metazoa; Chordata; Actinopteri; Siluriformes; Clariidae
Gene: dedd2
Gene name: death effector domain-containing 1
Exons: 6
Source: RefSeq, a predicted model, not a curated record